RNAcentral lists this unclassified non-coding RNA (1707 nucleotides) under Acer longipes. RNAcentral describes it as "external transcribed spacer". The record is from RNAcentral. Lineage: Eukaryota; Viridiplantae; Streptophyta; Magnoliopsida; Sapindales; Sapindaceae.
AGGUGUCUGCUGCGAAAAGAGGUGCCCGGUGCCUAUGCCUGCUCCCCCCCCCAUCCUUCGAGGAGGAUGGGCGAGCCAUGGCAUAGGCACACCCCGGUCGGCGGAUCGGUGAAAGGUUGUGGGUUUUUGACGGUCGGAACCUUUCAUCGAUCCGCCGGCCACGGCCUGUGGGAAAGUAGUGCUCUGUUCGAUCUUUCUCGAGAGGAGAGGGACGGUUCAACUCGGAUUUUGGUCUUUCCAACGUACUUCACAGAAACGUGAGCAUGGCUUCGGCUGUGGGAUCGGAGUAAUGAGGAUGCCGCGGUCGGGUCAGGUGUGGGUUUUUUAACCUCUCGUUGGAGAUCGGCACUGUCAUUAAUUUCUCAUUUGGCCGUUGGUGGAGAUUAUUCAUUAAUCUCCAUCAUGUCCCGUCGGAAAAAAUUUUCAAAUCCGUCGCAAAAUUUUUCAAAUGUUUUCACUUGGUCUGGUGGGCUCGUAGUGCUUUGUUCAAUCUUUCUCGAGAGGAGAGGGACGGUUCAACUCGGAUUUUGGUCUUUCCAACGUACUUCACAGAAACGUGAGCAUGGCUUCGGCUGUGGGAUCGGAGUAAUGAGGAUACCGCGGUUGGGUCAUUAAAUGGGUUUUUUAACCUCUCGUUGGAGAUUGGCCCUGUCACUACUUUCUCACAUGGCCGUUGUCAUGUCCCGUCGCAAAGUUUUUCAAAUGUUUUCACUUGGUCAAGUGGGCUCGUAGUGCUUUGUUCAAUCUUUCUCGAGAGGAGAGGGACGGUUCAACUCGGAUUUUGGUCUUUCCAACGUACUUCACAGAAACGUGAGCAUGGCUUCGGCUGUGGGAUCGGAGUAAUGAGGAUACCGCGGUYGGGUCAGUGUCUGGGUUUUUCGUUGUCAUUUCCCUUCGCAAAGUUUUUCAAAUGUUUUCACUCGGCCGUCGGUGGAGAGAUUAUUCAUUAUUUUCCACAUCACAACAUCCCGAAAAAAAUGCGGAAGAACUAGCAUGCUUCGGCUUGUGCUAACUUGAUGCAUCAAAAGGUUUGUUGCGGUGGGUUGGGGGUAAUGGAGAAUCGUUUGUUUUUGAAACCAAAAAAAAUAAAAAUUGUUUUCUUGUCCCUCGAAGGUUUUUGUCCCUCGGAUUGUGUGCUUCUUCGCGUGAAGCGGUGCUGGUGUGGCCUUGCUUGAUGUUUCCGCAUGCUCAGCGGUUCUAGUAACCGUUGGGUUGUGGUUCGUUUGGUUGGGUCAUCAUCAAGUGUACGCAACUCACGUGUGAGUGGUGGUUGGAUGGCAUGGGUCUGCAAGCUCCUUGCUCAGCGCAACGAAUUGCAAGCUCUCUAUCCUUUUCAUAGUCCUUCCCCAAGCAUGGUCAUUUGCCUUGUGGGUAAGAUCGGUAUCCUGUGCGUUUUACCAAUUGAAUGGAACUCGAUAGUUUUCAUUUCUCUAUUCGGCCGGUUCCCUUAGGGGUGUUGGGUGGACGAUAGGCCGACCUCGUGUUCCAGGUACAUCUCGCAUUUUUUGCGUGGUUACCAUGGCCCAUGGGGUUGUGCUUGUUCUCUUGGAUGCGGAUCGUUAGUUGUGGGCGAGGGGUUACGACCUCCAUUCGUCCAAUCUAAUAUGCAUUUGUCAAUCGACACGAACGACUGCCGCACUUGUCUUGGCUUUUACGGUCGAACGGCCGUACAAUGUCCAUGCGAGUGUCGGUGUCGUGAAGGAAUGC